This 210-nucleotide long non-coding RNA is filed under the name Olea europaea (common olive). Its description in RNAcentral is "long non-coding RNA (OEUR_LNC006654)". The record is from RNAcentral. Lineage: Eukaryota; Viridiplantae; Streptophyta; Magnoliopsida; Lamiales; Oleaceae.
ACCUUCAAUGUUAAUCUCAGUGUAACAUUUCAAAAAUUAAGGAGACUGAAUAAAUCGUGCAGUCACGUUUAACACACAAGUAUAAUCAUUUGACAUUACAAGUAAUUCUCGUCAAAGAAAGAACAAGGAUGGUAUUAUCCGAGGUGGUCUUCUCAUCAUCUUCUAUGCCCAAGAGCUUCAAGGAAAUGUUAUAGUGGUGUAGCAAAACCU